Molecule: transfer RNA, 75 nt
Filed under: Pseudomonadota bacterium
Lineage: Bacteria; Pseudomonadati; Pseudomonadota
Also listed under: 1 other name
Description: tRNA-Arg
Rfam family: tRNA
About the family: Transfer RNA (tRNA) molecules are approximately 80 nucleotides in length. Their secondary structure includes four short double-helical elements and three loops (D, anti-codon, and T loops).
Source: RNAcentral
CUCUCCGUAGUUCAAUGGAUAGAACGAGUGCCUCCUAAGCGCUAGAUACAGGUUCGAUUCCUGUCGGAGGGACCA